This is a long non-coding RNA of Amaranthus tricolor (Joseph's coat), 2920 nucleotides long. RefSeq lists it as uncharacterized. The record is from RefSeq and is a predicted model, not a curated record. The transcript is spliced from 3 exons. Lineage: Eukaryota; Viridiplantae; Streptophyta; Magnoliopsida; Caryophyllales; Amaranthaceae.
UGAACGAAGCCCUUAUUUUUUUUGUGGUCACUCAAAAGAAUCAAGGCAAACAAUCUAAUCUUUCUUUCUUCACCUUCGAACCAGAGUCCCAAAAAGGAAAGCAGAUUAUACCCUUCUUAUUCCUUCUCCCUCCUCUGAUUCUUUCAAACCCAGACUCGAACAGGAAGCGAGCAAAAACCUUCAUUCCAUCUUCUUCCUCACUCAUUCUCAAGACUUUCGAAAAGCCUUAAACAAUACAGCCUCUUGUUUUGUUUCUCAAAACAGGCGGUAAUCAAGAUUUUGGUUGGGUUUCGGAAAUUGCUAGUCCAUGAUCUCUGAAAUUCCUUCGCAAUUAAGGAUAGCCCACAACAAUUCAAUAAUUGGUUGAUCUUGAUCACACCACCAACACUUCCUUUAUUUGCCUCUGAAAUUCUGCCAUAAGCCAAGAAGGAGACGACGUCAUCGAGGAACCUUUCUAGUGAUUGCGGAGAAACGGACUUAGCACCUUGAAGCAUCUUUGUUGUUUACAGAUCGGAUCCGGUCAGGAACGAUGGGUUAGCAGAGCUAAAUUGAGUUCCAAGGAUGUUAUAUUAAGCUGAGCACGUGAGAAUUUAUAAUUUUGUAUUAGGAUUUUGAUAAAUGUAUAUUAGUCUUGGUUGUGUUGGUUAUAUUGCACUCGAAGUGAAUUGUAUGAUUACCUUGUGUUUUAGUUAGAUAUUUGGUUUGAGAAUUAGCUGAGUUAAUUACGUCAAAGAGCUAGUGACCCCUUUGCUCAAGUUUUGGAAGCUUGAUUUAAGUUUCUUGGGAAAUGAAUCCCGUGAUGAUCCUGAUUACUUAGUCAAUAGUAAGUCGGGUUAUUACAAUAAGGAGUGAGAGGAUGGUAAGGGAACAAAGGAACCUAAGGUUUCAAGAGGAGUUUUGUGUCUUAAGGGCUUAGAGGGGAGGCGAUUGAUGAGAUAAGUAGCAGUAGCUAUUGCCUCGGGCAAAAAAGAAGCUGGUGUAUGGGACUCAAUUAGGAGGGCUCGAGUGAUUUCAAGCAAGGUACGGUUUUUGCGUUCAGCAAUCCCAUUUUAUUGUGGAGUGUUUGGGCAAGAGGUUUGAUGUAUCAUUCCAUGGUCUAAAAAGAACUAUUUCAUGCCUAAGUUAAUGUAUUCCCCCCAUUGUCAGAACGUAAUAUUUGUGGUUUAGCAUGAAAUUGAUAUUAAAGCCUAUUGUAAAAAGUAAUAAAUACUGAAAAAAAAACCUCUGAUUUGUAUUUCAAAAAAUACACCAAGCUCAUACAAGUACAAUCAUCCACAAAUAAAACAUAAUAGGAUAAUUAUGAGAAGAAAAAAUAGGAGCAGGUCCCCACACAUUAGAAUGUAUCAAUGAAAAAGGACUAGUAGUACGAGUAAAACUAGACAAAUAAGAGUGUUUAUGGCUUUUUGCCAAGACACAAGUUUCACACUCUAAAGACAAAACAGUAGGUUUUAGGGAAGGGAACAAAUAUUUUAAGUAAGCUAAAGAAGGAUGACUCAGAGGCUUGUGCCACAUCUAGAGUUGGUGAUCAGAGGACCCGCGAGCAAGCAUAGCCUGACUUUGUUGAGUCGUCUCAUCUACAUAGUAUAAACCUCCUCGUUCAGUACCACGUCCAAUAGCUGUCCCGGUCAGAGCAUCCUGCACAAUACAACCAUCAGAUGUUAUGAGAACAGUACAAUUGAGUUCUUUAGUCAGCUGACUAAUAGAUAUAAGCUUAUGAGUUAAACUAGGAAUCCAAAGACAGUUAUUUAAAUGAAUCGAGGGAGAGGAAUAAAGGAGAUCGCUUUUUUCUUUAUCUUAGGACUCAUCAAUACCACCCGAAAAUUGAUAAAGUAUCUGUUUUUGUAUGAAUGUGUUGAAUAUAGUCAUGUCCUCAGAACAUUUCAUAGGAUUCGGCAUACGUCGAUCUAUUUCUUUUCACACUGUAUUCAUUUUACUAAAGUAAAUUUCAAUAGUCAUUACCUUGUGUUAAUGUGGCAGCCUUCAUGCUCAGAUCAAAAACUUGUGGUUCGUCUCUUCCACUACUAAGAAGAGUUUCAAUUCCUUUCCAUAGGUCUCUUGCUGUGGUAUAAUCUAAAAAUUGAUUCACCAAUUCACCAUCAAUAUUUUCUAUGAUCCAUGAGAAAACAAUUUGCUCCCGUUGUGCCCAUUGAAUAUAUUCCGGGUCAGUAGGCGGUACGAGGGCAUCGGUGACGUGAUUGAGCCGCCCUUUACCUCCGAUAGCAACAUGCAUCAACUUGCACCAUUUUGUAUAAUUAUGGAAAGUCAGUUUUUCCGUCACACGAACAGAUGGGUUUGUUUAGUUUUUAGAACAUCUUAUACAUAUGUUCCUUUUGCUCCAUUGAAAAAAGUUGGUUUGUGCUGGAUUCGUUUGAUUGUUCGGCCAUUGUAGGUAAACACCGGUAAAUGAUGAGUACCAAAAAAGGGUUUUGUCGGUUUUGAACUUUACGGCUCUGAUACCAUGAAAAAUAAUUAAUGCGGAAAAAUAAACAAGAUUAGAGUUUUGAUUUGUGAAUACUCACUCUAUUGAAUUAUAAUGAAGAACAUAAACAACUAUUUAUACAAAGACUAAUGAGCUAAUCUAGAAAACAAAUAAUAUAUGGAAUAUUUUACAUAAUCAUCAAUAUCUCCUAAUAUUUCCUACACAAAAAACCCAAAUUUUAGCCAAUCCAAAAAAAUUUGAUCCGAAUUAAAUUGACUUGAUGACUUGAAUAAACGUUGUCUGAAAAGUUAAAUGAAAUUUAAAAUUGAAAAGUUUAAUGAAAAUCAAAUCCAAAACGUUGUCUGAAAAAGACAAUACGUACCCUAAGUGACAUAAAACCUGAUUCUCUAGAAUUAUCUUUGAAACAUUGGACGUGAUUGAAAUUUAAAAUGGUUUCAAAUUGUUCUUAUAUAAAAGAAAUAAAAAAUAGAAAUUUGUAUA